RNAcentral lists this ribosomal RNA (477 nucleotides) under uncultured bacterium. RNAcentral describes it as "partial 16S ribosomal RNA". It matches the Rfam family "Bacterial small subunit ribosomal RNA", at positions 29 to 507 of the family's 1533-position model. The record is from RNAcentral.
ACGAACGCUGGCGGCGUGCUUCACCCCUGCCAGUCGAACGGGAUUUAGUAAACGGAAGCCUCGGUGGAAGAUUACUAAUGAGAGUGGCGAACGGGUGAGUAACGCGUGAGCAACCUGCCUAUGACAGUGGGAUAGCCUCGGGAAACCGGGAUUAAUACCGCAUAAAAUCGUAGAAACACAUGUUUCAACGGUCAAAGAUUUAUCGGUCAUAGAUGGGCUCGCGUCUGAUUAGCUAGUUGGUGAGAUAACAGCCCACCAAGGCGACGAUCAGUAGCCGGUCUGAGAGGAUGAACGGCCACAUUGGAACUGAGACACGGUCCAAACUCCUACGGGAGGCAGCAGUGGGGAAUAUUGCACAAUGGGGGAAACCCUGAUGCAGCGACGCCGCGUGAACGAAGAAGGUAUUCGUAUCGUAAAGUUCUGUCCUAUGGGAAGAUAAUGACAGUACCAUAGAAGAAAGCUCCGGCUAAAUACGUG